This 243-nucleotide ribosomal RNA is filed under the name Schmidingerella taraikaensis. RNAcentral's name for it is "partial Eukaryotic large subunit ribosomal RNA". Lineage: Eukaryota; Ciliophora; Spirotrichea; Tintinnida; Rhabdonellidae. The record is from RNAcentral.
AAGUAUUUCAAUUGAUGAAAAGCCCGUAGAAGGUAGUGUCAAAUAACUCUUGAAACGACUCUACGACAAGGUGAUGCACUAGCGAAAAUUCAAAUACGGCCUGCCGUCCAUGUUCAAAAGCUACUGUCUCUUCCUUUGGGCUUGUCGCAGGAGCAAACUGCGCAAAAGCUAGACCGGCCGAAAUGAGUUCUUUUACAAGCACGGCUUCUCCAAAAUGAAACGCGAUCUUGACGUGCUCUAGCU